This is a long non-coding RNA of Salvia miltiorrhiza (redroot sage), 355 nucleotides long. RefSeq lists it as uncharacterized. The transcript is spliced from 2 exons. The record is from RefSeq and is a predicted model, not a curated record. NCBI's taxonomy places the organism in Eukaryota, Viridiplantae, Streptophyta, Magnoliopsida, Lamiales, Lamiaceae.
UCAGUACAUGAUGUGGUUAAUCUUUGUCCAUUUUAAUAUUAUGUGUUUGCCAUAUGUGUUGUAAAUUCAGUUAUAUCGCUAGGGGCCCGCUCAAUGGGUCCAGGACUUCACCGUCCUUGGUAUGCCACAAUGCGAUUUCAUGUUACAGUUAAGGUUGCAACCUAUUCGCCAGGGGCCCGCUCAAUGGAUCCAGGACAUUAAAGUCCUUGGUUUUAAAGGCCGGAGGCGCGUGGAAGGUCGAAUGGCGAGGCAAAUAUUUUGAAUUUAGCAUUACUUAAAAAUGUUAUUUUAAGUAAACUAUGUUUAAAUAAAAAUUUAUUUCCUUAUUUUCUCAUUAAAUAUUUAUUUAUAUUCA